AGGGUUUGAUCCUGGCUCAGAGUUAACGCUAGUGGCGCGCCUAAUACAUGCAAGUCGUAGAUUAUUUAUUUAAAUAGUUUAGGCGAACGGGUGAGGAAUAAGCUAGUAUCUGCCUUUCGAUAGGGGAUAAGAAUCUAAGUAUCAAACAUUAAGGAUGAUAUAUGAUAGAAGACCCUAUAUUAAUAAAGUCUUAAUGACGUCGAAAGAUGAACUGGUUCAAGAUUAGGUAGUUGGUAAGGUAAAGGCUUACCAAGCCUGUGAUCUUUAGUGGUUCUGAGAGGAAGUACCACCACACGGGAACUGAGACAAGGUCCCGACUCAUUUUGAGGCAGCAGUAGGGAAUAUUGGACAAUGAACGAAAGUUUGAUCCAGCGACGCCACGUGAAGGAAAAGCUAACUGAAGGCUAAAGUGUUGUAAACUUCAAAAUUUUGGGAAGAUAAUGACAUUACCAAAAUUCAAGUCCUGGCAAAUCUUGUGCCAGCCGCCGCGGUAAUACAAGAAGGGCAAGCGUUAUUCGGAAUAAUUUGGU
This 530-nucleotide ribosomal RNA is filed under the name uncultured bacterium. RNAcentral's name for it is "bacterial SSU rRNA". It matches the Rfam family "Bacterial small subunit ribosomal RNA", at positions 8 to 559 of the family's 1533-position model. The record is from RNAcentral.